AAAACAUAAUAGACGAGAUAAGAAUUCUCUAAUUGAUUUUUGAUAAGAAAAAACGAUGGAGACGCGUGAAGUGACGGUAACCACAAACGCACCGAGCCGUAAAAGAUAGGCCCAAAUCCAUAUUCCAUUAUUUACUCUCUUUUUUUUUUUUUGUCAUUUUAAUUAAUUACUCAAUUUGUAUAACUGUUAUUAUCUAUUUAUCCUAUUUGUAUAAUGGACAUUAUGUAAAGAUGACGUUAUGACGACGUCAAGAAUGAACUAAGAUUUCAAGAAUGAAAUUAUUACUACUAUACC
Molecule: long non-coding RNA, 294 nt
Filed under: Capsella rubella
Lineage: Eukaryota; Viridiplantae; Streptophyta; Magnoliopsida; Brassicales; Brassicaceae
Description: long non-coding RNA (CRUB_LNC001256)
Source: RNAcentral